UUAAUGGGCUUUGCUUUGGUGGGGGCCUCUGCUUAUAUUAAUAAACAUACAAAAGGUAUGACAAAGAUCUUUAAACACUCUAAAGUUGCCUGCUAGUUCUGAGGUUAGACCAACACAGCUACAAGCAAAAACCCAAUUAGUUCUGACUUGCUUUGAAGUAACAAACAUCAAUAUACUUAGGCUUGGCAGACUUCAUAUUUUUAAAUUAAUAAACGUUGAUAAAUGGCAAUUUCACCUCAGUCACAGACCCAUGGAAACUAUUUCCAUUGGUAAUAAUCAAAACUUAUAGAAAGGGGAUUGUAACAGAAAAUCCUUACCCCUGUUACUAGGCAGUGGAAAAAGAGAAGGAACAGAGGGCAGAGGGAUUAAACAGGAAAACAAUGGGCAGCCUAAUACAGUGUUUCGCCAACCUUUUUUGGCCCAUGGCACAUUUACCUAAAUAAAAAAGCACCACGACACACUGGACACGGAGCGGGGGGAGGCGCGUGGCCAGCCGGAUGCCGACAGAAGGAGGGGCAGCGCACAGCCAGCUGGAUGGCAUUUUGGGCUGGAGUCACGCCCCCUGCCUGGCUGGAGUCACAGCAGCAGCAGGCAGGGGGUGUGGCUCCAGCCCAAAAUGCCUUGGCACACCUGGACCUGCCUAACAGCACACUGGUUGGGAAAUGUUGGCCUAAUAAUACUUCAAUUAAGCAAUUAGCUGCUCCUUUCUGACUAAUGCCUCAUUAAUUAAGCAAUUAUGUGCUCCUUCACAGAUGCUACUAUAGUGAGAUAACAGGCUACCUAAACAAAGCCCUACCCAAACCCCAGAGAGGACAAGGGGGAAGAGUAUGUGAAGUUUCAGUCUGGUGGCAGCAAGGUCCUGCCUGAGGGCAGCCACUACCUCACCCUGUGUUCCCAGAGCUCUGGGAGUAACACUGCACUCUCUUCUGGUCCCUGCCUAUGCAACUGUUUCCUGAAGAAUAAACAGAAUGAUUUAAAGCAGCUGCUGGGCUGAGCUGGGGCAGAAUGGGAGAGCACUGACUGGAGGCAGGAGACCACACUGAAGUGUAGUGGAUCAUAAUUUAAGAAGGGCAGUGAAGACUUCAGAGUGAGCAAGCCAGGAGAUUGGCUGGGCCAGAGAUUGGACAGUGGAGGCAUAUGUGAACAAGGCACAGAGACAACCCUCCCUCCUCAGAACAGGCUGUUCUAGAUCAAAUGAGAAGGAAGAAAGCUGUCCCAGUUUUGUAACCUGGCAGUGGCACAAGAUGCACCUGUUUGGCUGAGGGUUGUUCUGUUCUGUUAGGAGUUACGCAGGGGGAUAUCUUGGAAAUGUCUGACUAACUGAAAGUUUGUACAGUCCUCUCCUCAUCUUGGCUAUGGUGAAUUAAUAAAUACCUUGCUGUUGCAACAUUAAGGACUUCUUCUGUAAGUCAGGGUGGGAUUUGGGCCUCAGGGUUUAAUUUCUUUAAAUUAAUUUAGUUCUUGAUUGAUCACCCUGGAGACUUGAAGGGCUCUAUUUAUCCUCAGAACAAGCACAGCCUGGCAGCCAUAGUGCCAGCAUCCUUAAACUGACUCCCCCUGUGUCCUGACCUUGCCUUGAAGACUCCUCCAAUGUCUUGUCUACAUUAGGAAAAUUAGUCAUAUUCUUUUUAAUUAAAAUUUUUCAUUGCUCUACUAAGCUCUUCUGUUUUGCAGUAUCCUCACAGGCACCUAUCUGUUGUGUCUACCUCUCAUACCCUGAUCCCUGAUGACAUCUAGAGAGUUAGCAUACUGAGACAGGGACUGCUCCCUUCAUCAGUGUACAGUCUCUAGCACAACAGGAUCCUGGUCAUGUAUAGGGAGGGGCUCACCAUACUAGAAAUAGAGAACUAAAUACAUUACAUUUUUAUUAU
This is a long non-coding RNA of Alligator sinensis (Chinese alligator), 1871 nucleotides long. RefSeq lists it as uncharacterized. The record is from RefSeq and is a predicted model, not a curated record. The transcript is spliced from 3 exons. NCBI's taxonomy places the organism in Eukaryota, Metazoa, Chordata, Crocodylia, Alligatoridae.